CACGUAGGGGGCGAGCGUUGUCCGGAUUUAUUGGGCGUAAAGAGCUCGUAGGCGGCUCAGUAAGUCAGGUGUGAAAACUCCAGGCUCAACCUGGAGACGCCACCUGAUACUGCUGUGGCUAGAGUCCGGUAGGGGAGCAUGGAAUUCCUGGUGUAGCGGUGAAAUGCGCAGAUAUCAGGAGGAACACCAAUUGCGAAGGCAGCUCGCUGGGACGUUACUGACGCU
Molecule: ribosomal RNA, 225 nt
Filed under: uncultured bacterium
Lineage: Bacteria
Description: partial 16S ribosomal RNA
Rfam family: Bacterial small subunit ribosomal RNA
Source: RNAcentral